CGGUUUUCCUGCUACUCAUCGCCAGAUCGUUCCGUCACCCUCCGUGGUCUGUUCAUCUGCCAGCUGUGGCUACUACCUACCUGCCUGCUCACUCCUGCACGCUGCUCCUGGAUCAACCUGGAACCUGUUUUGGUUUAAAUAAAUAUUCUUUUGUUC
This is a long non-coding RNA of Sebastes umbrosus (honeycomb rockfish), 156 nucleotides long. RefSeq lists it as uncharacterized. The transcript has 2 exons. Lineage: Eukaryota; Metazoa; Chordata; Actinopteri; Perciformes; Sebastidae. The record is from RefSeq and is a predicted model, not a curated record.